This 114-nucleotide ribosomal RNA is filed under the name Salvator merianae (Argentine black and white tegu). The record is from RNAcentral. Lineage: Eukaryota; Metazoa; Chordata; Lepidosauria; Squamata; Teiidae.
GCUUUCAAUCUUGUUUGGCUUGUUCAGGCUUGUUUGAGACUGGAAACUAAGCUGGGUUAGGGCUGGUUAGUAUUUGAAAGUGAGAACAGCUGGGAACGCCAGGUGCUGUAGGCC